UUUAUUGGAGAGUUUGAUCCUGGCUCAGGACGAACGCUGGCGGCAUGCCUAAUACAUGCAAGUCGAGCGGAGUUGAUGGAAAGCUUGCUUUCCUGAUACUUAGCGGCGGACGGGUGAGUAACACGUAGGCAACCUGCCCUCAAGCUUGGGACAACU
This 156-nucleotide ribosomal RNA is filed under the name Paenibacillus cucumis (ex Kampfer et al. 2016). RNAcentral describes it as "partial 16S ribosomal RNA". It matches the Rfam family "Bacterial small subunit ribosomal RNA", at positions 1 to 148 of the family's 1533-position model. Lineage: Bacteria; Bacillati; Bacillota; Bacilli; Caryophanales; Paenibacillaceae. The record is from RNAcentral.